This 588-nucleotide ribosomal RNA is filed under the name uncultured bacterium. RNAcentral describes it as "bacterial SSU rRNA". It matches the Rfam family "Bacterial small subunit ribosomal RNA", at positions 28 to 662 of the family's 1533-position model. The record is from RNAcentral.
AACGAACGCUGGCGGCAGGCUUAACACAUGCAAGUCGAACGCCCUCUUCGGAGGGAGUGGCAGACGGGUGAGUAACGCGUGGGAACCUACCCUUUUCUACGGAAUAGCCUCGGGAAACUGGGAUUAAUACCGUAUACGCCCUUUGGGGGAAAGAUUUAUCGGUGAAGGAUGGGCCCGCGUUGGAUUAGCUAGUUGGUGGGGUAAUGGCCUACCAAGGCGACGAUCUAUAGCUGGUCUGAGAGGAUGAUCAGCCACACUGGGACUGAGACACGGCCCAGACUCCUACGGGAGGCAGCAGUGGGGAAUAUUGGACAAUGGGCGCAAGCCUGAUCCAGCCAUGCCGCGUGAGUGAUUAAGGCCCUAGGGUUGUAAAGCUCUUUCAGUGGUGAAGAUAAUGACGGUAACCACAGAAGAAGCCCCGGCUAACUUCGUGCCAGCAGCCGCGGUAAUACGAAGGGGGCUAGCGUUGUUCGGAUUUACUGGGCGUAAAGCGCACGUAGGCGGAUUGGUUAGUUAGGGGUGAAAUCCCGGAGCUCAACUCCGGAACUGCCUUUAAUACUGCCAGUCUUGAGUCCGAGAGAGGUGAGU